CCGCGUGAAUGAUGAAGGCCUUCGGGUUGUAAAGUUCUGUCUUCUGGGACGAUAAUGACGGUACCAGAGGAGGAAGCCACGGCUAACUACGUGC
This 94-nucleotide ribosomal RNA is filed under the name uncultured bacterium. Its description in RNAcentral is "partial 16S ribosomal RNA". It matches the Rfam family "Bacterial small subunit ribosomal RNA", at positions 397 to 508 of the family's 1533-position model. The record is from RNAcentral.